CCCGCUGAACUUAAGCAUAUCAAUAAGCGGAGGAAAAGAAACUAACAAGGAUUCCCCUAGUAACUGCGAGUGAAGCGGGAAAAGCUCAAAUUUAAAAUCUGGCGGUCCUUGUGGCCGUCCGAGUUGUAAUUUAGAGAAGUGUUAUCCGUGCUGGACCGUGUACAAGUCUCCUGGAAUGGAGCGUCAUAGAGGGUGAGAAUCCCGUCUUUGACACGGACUGCCAGUGCAUUGUGAUGCGCUCUCGAAGAGUCGAGUUGUUUGGGAAUGCAGCUCAAAAUGGGUGGUAAAUUCCAUCUAAAGCUAAAUAUUGGGGAGAGACCGAUAGCGAACAAGUACCGUGAGGGAAAGAUGAAAAGAACUUUGGAAAGAGAGUUAAACAGUACGUGAAAUUGCUGAAAGGGAAACGCUUGAAGUCAGUCGCGUCGCUCAGGACUCAGCCUUGCUUUUGCUUGGUGUACUUCCUGUUCGAUGGGUCAGCAUCAAUUUCGAUCGGUGGAUAAAGGCUUAGAGAAUGUGGCAUCUUGGGGUGUGUUAUAGCUCUUCGUCGCAUACAUCGGUCGGGAUUGAGGAACUCAGCACGCCGCAAGGCCGGGUACUUGUACCACGUUCGUGCUUAGGAUGCUGGCAUAAUGGCUUUAAUCGACCCGUCGAGAGACACGGAAGGGCGAAUGCGCGGCCUCUCAAAUACAACUCGACUCUACGAGGGGC
Molecule: ribosomal RNA, 708 nt
Filed under: uncultured fungus
Lineage: Eukaryota; Fungi
Description: eukaryotic LSU rRNA
Rfam family: Eukaryotic large subunit ribosomal RNA
Source: RNAcentral